RNAcentral lists this long non-coding RNA (522 nucleotides) under Ananas comosus (pineapple). Its description in RNAcentral is "long non-coding RNA (ACOM_LNC018317)". Lineage: Eukaryota; Viridiplantae; Streptophyta; Magnoliopsida; Poales; Bromeliaceae. The record is from RNAcentral.
AUGUUGGCAUUCGGUUAAAUCGAAUCGGGUACGCCCAUAUGCGGGUUCGAUCCGACGGAUAUUAUGUUAUCUAAUUGGAUUGGAAUUAAUCUCGCUUUCAAAUUGGAAAGUUAGUUAGAGAUAAAUCCUAGUCAUAUUAGGAUAACAAUUAAUAACCGAUUUGGCCUUAUCUCUAACGCCAUAAGGAUUUUGGAAUCCCUUAUAAAUAUGCGGGCGAUUCCACAUAACGUAAUAUACGGAAAAGAACGGAAAAUGAGAGAGAAUAAGAAAAUAAUAACGAGAAACCACAUCCUCCAUUGACCUAUUAUUCUAGAGGAAUUUGCACGGUGGAUUUGCGAUCGCGCUCGUUUGUAGUUCGAUCCACCGCGAGUUCGUGGAGCGUGAGAAGACAUUCAAGGACGAUCGGAGGACACGUGAAUCAAUCUAAACGAUCCGGGCUCAUCGCGUUGUUGCGCGAAUCGCUUCCGCAAAAGGUACGAACCAAUAUUUCCGCUGCGUUCUACAUGAUAUAUGUAUAAACCU